CCCUUAGAUGUUCUGGGCUGCACGCGCGCUACACUGAAGCUAUCAACACGUUUUCCCUCCCUGAGAAGGGCAGGUAACCUUUUGAAUCAGCUUCGUGGUAGGGAUCGGGGCUUGCAAUUGUUCCCCGUGAACCAGGAAUUCCUAGUAGACGCGAGUCAUAAGCUCGCAUCGAUUAAGUCCCUGCCCUUUGUACACACCGCCCGUCGCUACUACCGAUUGAACGUUUUAGUGAGGCAUUUGGACCGACGCAUCUCAGUUUAACCGCUGGUUUGUGUUGGAAAGACUUCCAAACUUGAGCGUUUAGAGGAAGUAAAAGUCGUAACA
RNAcentral lists this ribosomal RNA (324 nucleotides) under uncultured eukaryote. RNAcentral's name for it is "partial 18S ribosomal RNA". It matches the Rfam family "Eukaryotic small subunit ribosomal RNA", at positions 1470 to 1796 of the family's 1831-position model. The record is from RNAcentral.